This 488-nucleotide ribosomal RNA is filed under the name Javaulius sp. 1 MB-2015. RNAcentral describes it as "partial 16S ribosomal RNA". The record is from RNAcentral. Lineage: Eukaryota; Metazoa; Arthropoda; Insecta; Coleoptera; Curculionidae.
UCGAACAGACCUAAACUUUUAGCUUCUACACCAAAAUUUUAUUUUAAUCCAACAUCGAGGUCGCAAUCUCUUUUUUCGAUAAGAACUCUCAAAAAAAAUUACGCUGUUAUCCCUAAGGUAACUUGAUCUUUUAAUCUUCCACUUAGGAUCAACUAUUCAUAAAUUAAUGUAUAAAUAAAAAAAAAGUUAACUAAAUUUUUCAAUCACCCCAAUUAAAUUAAUUUUUAUAUAAAAAAGUAAAUUCUAAAAAUACCUAUAUUAAAUUAAUAAAGCUCUAUAGGGUCUUCUCGUCUUUUAUCAAUAUUUAAGCUUUUUUACUUAAAAAUAAAAUUCUAAUAAAUUUAAAUAGAGACAGAUUUUUUCUCAUCUAACCCUUCAUUCAAGCUUUCAAUUAAAAAACUAAUGAUUAUGCUACCUUUGCACGGUCAAAUUACCGCGGCCAUUUAAAUAUUCAUUGGGCAGGCCAGACCUUAAAUUAAACUCAAAAA